RNAcentral lists this ribosomal RNA (314 nucleotides) under Tetraclita ehsani. RNAcentral describes it as "partial 12S ribosomal RNA". It matches the Rfam family "Microsporidia small subunit ribosomal RNA", at positions 773 to 1200 of the family's 1311-position model. Lineage: Eukaryota; Metazoa; Arthropoda; Thecostraca; Balanomorpha; Tetraclitidae. The record is from RNAcentral.
GAAAUUUAACGGAUUUGGCGGCAAGAUAGCCCCUUAGAGGAACCUGCCCUGUAAACGAUGAACCACGAAUGACACAACUUUUCUUUGAAAUCAGUUUGUAUAUCGCUGUUGUCAGUUAGAUUCUUGAGAAUGUUUUCAUUUAUGAUAAAGUCAUUGACUUCAAGUAAAGGUGCAGCUUAUAGAAAAGGUAGAGGUGGGUUACAUUUAUGUGAAUAAAACGGAUAAGAUAAGAGAAAUAGUCUUUGAAGGUGGAUUUAACUGUAAAGCUUAAAGAAGCUUGGUGAGAGCUCUAUCUUGUGUACACACCGCCCGUC